GAUGAAGAACGCAGCGAAAUGCGAUAAGUAAUGCGAAUUGCAGAAUCCGUGAGUCAUCGAAUCUUUGAACGCACAUUGCGCCCUUUGGUAUUCCUUAGGGCAUGCCUGUUCGAGCGUCAUUUAAACCUUCAAGCUCAGCUUGGUGUUCGGUGACUGUCCGCUUCACCGCGGACUCGCCUCAAAAUUAUUGGCGGCCGGUACAUUGGCUUCGAGCGCAGCAGAAACGCGAACUCGGGCCCGUCGUAUUGGCUCCCAGAAGCUAUCUUCACAAUUUUGACCUCGGAUCAGGUAGGGAUACCCGCUGAACUUAAGCAUAUCAAUAAGCGGAGGA
This 331-nucleotide unclassified non-coding RNA is filed under the name soil metagenome. RNAcentral's name for it is "partial contains 5.8S ribosomal RNA, internal transcribed spacer 2, and large subunit ribosomal RNA". The stretch from base 1 to 119 matches the Rfam family "5.8S ribosomal RNA", at positions 35 to 154 of the family's 154-position model. The record is from RNAcentral.